Mus musculus (house mouse) is the source of this 1353-nucleotide long non-coding RNA. RefSeq annotates it as predicted gene, 20275. The record is from RefSeq and is marked validated. The transcript is spliced from 4 exons. Lineage: Eukaryota; Metazoa; Chordata; Mammalia; Rodentia; Muridae.
CUUCCUCUGCCAAGUGAAAGCAACGAGACAGUCAACCCUGGAUGAAACUAUGGUGUAAGAAAGAACACUCCCUCUUCUUAUUCUUGAAGCAGUAAGAGGCUGUCUCAGAAUCUUAAAGAUCAAAGAUCCACAUGUAGAACUCAACGCUAUGUCUCCAGCACCAUGUCUACUGCUUACCACCAUGGCUCCGCAAUGAUGAAAAUGGACUAAACUUCUGAAACUGUAAGCAAGCUUACAGUUAAAAUGUUUCUUUAAUAAGAGUUGCCAUAGUCAUGGUGUCUCCUCAAAGCAAUGAAUACUGAGACAAAUACUUAUGCUUCCCUGAAAGCAACCACAGCUCUGAAAAAUGCUCGAAGAACUGCCCAUCGGAAAACAGCUACAGGAUCAAUGCCAGUCAUCCCAGAAACAAAAGCAUUCCUGCUACUUCUCAGAAGAGCCACAAUGUCUGGACGCAUAUGAUCUGUAUUUUUUUCCCGAAAAUCCUAUGAAAAAAGUACCAAUGUUAUUUCUGAAAAGGACUAUUAAAAUCAAGAAGAUAGUAGGUUUGAAUGGUGGGGGUGAAUAGAGAUUAUAGAACUGAAUUCUAUUCUGAGCUACCUGGGCCAAGUACCUUAUAAAAGACUGUAUCUUUCACAUAAUUUGUUCAAUUCAGCUUUCCACAGGCUACAAACCAAACAUUACCUGACAAGUUUAAACAUCUGAAUCAAAAUUACUGGGUAUAAAUAACUUUUUUUGUUUUUGUUUUUUGAGACAGGGUUUCUCUGUAUAGCGCUGGCUGUCCUAGAACUCACUUUGUAGACUAGGCUGGCCUCGAACUCAGAAAUCCGCCUGCCUCUGCCUCCUAAGUGCUGGGAUUAAAGGGUGCGUCACCACGCCCAGCUAUAAAUAACUUUUGAUUAACGUUUUAUCAACUAGACACUUUUCUUAUUGUGAAAUAUCCCUUUUUAUCUCCAGGAAUAGCUCUAGCUUCUUUAGUGAGUAUAUAAUUUCACCUUUUAAUCACCUUUUUUAGUUUCAAUCUACUCAAUAACAUACUUAAACAUCAGAGAAACAGGUGUGUGUAUACUAUAUGAUAAAUGUCCCUGCAAAUCUUGGGCAUAUUUGGCUCCCACUUGGUGAUGCUGUCUGGGUAGGUUCACCAGGUAUGGUCUUGCUGAAGCAAGCCAGCAGUAAUCAGGUUGUGAGUUUAAAGACUCACACCAUUUCUUGUUCCAACUCUCUGCUUUGUGCUUGCAGUUAAAAACAUGAGCAACUCAGUUUCACCUUCAGCCACCAUGCCUGCUGCUUCCCUACCAUGAUGGACUCUCUUACCCUUCUGGAAUGGUAAGCUAAAUAAACUUUUUCUUCUACAAA